RNAcentral lists this ribosomal RNA (253 nucleotides) under uncultured bacterium. RNAcentral describes it as "partial 16S ribosomal RNA". It matches the Rfam family "Bacterial small subunit ribosomal RNA", at positions 524 to 776 of the family's 1533-position model. The record is from RNAcentral.
UACGGAGGAUCCAAGCGUUAUCCGGAAUCAUUGGGUUUAAAGGGUCCGUAGGCGGGCCUGUAAGUCAGUGGUGAAAUCCGGUAUCUCAACUAUCGAACGGCCAUUGAUACUGUAGAACUUGAAUUAUUGUGAAGUAACUAGAAUAUGUAGUGUAGCGGUGAAAUGCUUAGAUAUUACAUGGAAUACCAAUUGCGAAGGCAGGUUACUAACAAUACAUUGACGCUGAUGGACGAAAGCGUGGGGAGCGAACAGG